CCGCCUCUCCUCAGUCUCAUUCAGCUCGUCCUUCGCCUGGGGCAGGGUGGAGGGAGACCAGUGCCUGAAUCAGGAACGGGUGUGCUUAUGUGGAUAGGACCUCAGCUGCACAGCAUCCUGGAGGGGAGCAGGGCUGGAAGCCACAGCUGCUGUCUCAAAGGCUCUCCCUACCCGCUCUGCUGGCCAGCAGGGACACCUUGCAAUGACCCCAAAACCCACUUUAGGUGGCAGAGAGAUGGGAUUUGCUCCCAGGGGACGAGGCAGCUGAGUCUAGGGAGUAUUCCCACUGCCUCUGGCUGUGUGCCCUAUAGCACCUACAUGCUAGUGAGGAUCAUGGCAUCAAUCCAGAAGAGAGACCAGGGUCUGACCAGAGCCAUAGGAGCAAUGUGGGGCUAAGAGUCUUAUGGGGUGAUGGGCAAUGGAAGAUCUUCAGCGCUGGAUCAGUCAAAGGAGCCCCCUUCCUCUUGCAGGAAGGGGCUGGCCCCAUCUGCCUGGUACCCAGGCUGUCUCUCCCCACCCCUCUUCCAAGCUCUCACCUUCUGCAGGGUGUGUGAAGGGAUUUUCUCACACUUGCCAAAGAUAGGGCCAUGGUCCUUGAUGGUGAGUCGCUCGAGUUUGGCACGAAGGGCCUGCUCCUCCUCAGAGACAACUCGAAACGUUCCAGUCUGGAGCAAAGCCACAGCAAGAAGAGAUAGCGUGAGGAGUCUUCCCCUCUGUGACCUGCUCCAGGCCUAAGGCAGCCCUGAGCACACCACCAGCGCUGGCACCAGAAAGAUGCCCAUGGGGCCUGGACCAGCAUCCUGCGCUGACUUCGGGUUAAGUGACUUCUCUGGCACCAGAGGUAAUGGUCUGUGCUGGGGUCCGGCGAGGGAGCUCCCUCUGGCUGUGAGGAAGGCUCAGGUGGGUGCUGAGUUUUGAUGGGCAGAGGUUGCAAUGGGGCCUGUGUCAGGGUCAGAUACGGGCAAGGGUUCCCUAUGCUGGGGGGGGCGGCACUUAGCAUGGGUUGAAUACUAGGAAACCUGGUUCCUCUCUGAAGGAAGCCUGCUGGCCUGAGGCUGGCGGACUGUGCUAGCAGUUCAGCUUUGCACUUGGGAGUACCUGUGCCAAGGGCCUGGCAAGGUUUGGUGGGUGCUGUUCAAGAGCUGCAGAGAAAAAUGCAGUCCGUGCUGUCUUUUGGGCCACAGAAAUACAUAGGUCAGUAUGGCCAGGGAAGCUAAAUCCACAUGAACUCAGUACAGUUGUGGUGCUGCCCCCAGGCUGGGCACCACACAGCCAGGGAAGCCAGUGGUACUGCUCAGCAUGGGUGACCUGCUAGUUUCAAAGCCAGAAAAGGCCAGGGAGAGUGAGGCAGGAGGACAGUGUGGGGCAGGAGGGGCUAAAUCUCCCGUCAGUCAUAGCUAUAGACCCACAUGCUGGACAUAAGGCAGUCUCUGGGGCGGGAUAGCCAACCCACGCAGCUUCUCCAGGCUGCUCUGGAGAAGCUUGCACGUCAUCCCCAGAGUUCCCACUGUGCCUGCUCUGUGUACUGUCCCCUAGUGAACUUCAUUUAAGCGCUUCUGUGGCAAGCUGCUAGAGUUCUGCCCAUACCAGUCUCUCGAGAAGCUUAUUAACAGCAGUGCCGAUCCAGCCCUGCUGUUCACCUGGAUCACCUUGCCUGGCUGGAUUCGGGCUACCAUGACAUUGCACCGGCCUGACACUGAGGUCCUGAAAGAGACAAGGAAGAAUUCUCCAUGAGGCAUCUGCACAGCCCAAAGCACCUGCCCUGCUAGGAGCCCUGGCCUGGCCACUUCCACAGGAAUCAGGAGAAGGGAUGUAAAUGGGAUUCGCCAUUGGAUGCCCAGCUCCCCCUCAGCUCACUCGGAGGUGCAAAGGACUUGCUGUUCCCCCUUGGAGCUUCGUAGAGGAGAGUCGCACAGUUGGAAGUAAUCACGAGGCCUCACAGACCCCAGGAGCUCAGACAGGCUGGUUCCAUCUUAACCUUGUUCUUUCCUGAAGACAGAAAUGCCUAGCUCCGCUACUUUUAGGCAGAGGGAGGCAUUCAAUGCAGCCUGGGCUGUUACAAGUGCAUGGGGCUGGCUGGACUCGGCAAUUAACCCAUCACACAUCUGUUUGGGCUGGGGAAUGUUCCCAGUCUGAGGCACCUGAGGAAGGUCCCGGCAGCACAGCAGGGAUCUCAGACAGACCUGAGAUUCCUCUGAAGACCCUCUUCAGGAUGGCCCUAGCUAAUGUCUGGCAGCAGUCCCAAGGGUGGCAGGCUGGUUUUCAGGCAGGUGGUUCUGGGAAUGAGGCACCUUCCUGCUUCUGAUUCUUUUCUUUGUGAACUUCAGUAUUCUCUGUACUCUAAUGCAAGGGCUAAUCCCUAAGGAUCUUUGCAGGGAGGUGAAGAGAAAUAUAGAGCAUCCUGCUGUAAUCCAGAGCAGCUACUUCAGUUUAUGUUCUCAAUGAGGGGCAGCUGCCCUGACCUAUCUGAGCUUCUCCCUUCUGUUUCUAACAACUCUUGAGCCCUAAAGGAUCCCAAAGCGCUUCAAAAGCUGUGAAACAAAUGCUUGACUUCACUGGGGUCAUGCAAGUAUAACAGAGAGCAGACCUUGGUGCUCUGUCCAGAGAUCAUUUCACAUGCUCUCGAGGUGCCUGCACGUUCCAGUCCGGUGGUGCCCUUGUGCAGCCCUGCCAGUGCACUUUGCUCCUGAGCUGCACAACCCCUUUGCUGCCCCUGUCCUGAGCCAGGACCUCAGCUCUGUGAUGGGACUUUGCCCCACUGGACAGCAAACCAGUUCAGGAUCUCUUCCAAGAAUUGUCAGGUGGAUGUCCUUGGAUACAGAUAAGAGGAUGCCCAAGAGCUUGCUGUGUGGUUUCCGUUUGGCAUGUACUAGAAAGCAAAUAAUUCUCCCUUAUCAGUCCUUGCCGUGUAGCCCCUGAAUCUCUGUGUGUUGUUUGUCCAUUUCUCUCUUACCUCCUGGAUGUGGGAUGAAGUUUCUGCUUGACUUUCUGAUUGAGUCCUCAAAUACUGAAAAUAGACGCCUCGUCCCCAGAGCCCAUCCGCCCUCUUCCCAAAGGCUGCUCAAGCCUGGAAGCCUUCCUACAGGUAUCUUGAGCAGGAGCAAGAAGCCCUGAUGGGCAGCUACUGAAGGAAGCUGUUGGUCAGAGUGCAGCAGGGAGGACAAGCCGUAAACCCCAGUGUCGUCUUUGCUCACUGACCCUGCUUCUGAUUCAGACACGAUCUGAGCAGCAGAGAAGGAGGAUUGGCAGCAGCAGCAUCCAGGGCUCAGUCCUGCGGACCAUCCACCCAUCCAGAGUAGGGGAAGCAAAUGGACCUGAAGUUCAAACCCAUGCAGGACAUUACAGUGCUUUCCUCUCUCCGUUGGCUCUCAGGUCAUUGAACUGUCUUCCCCUGAAAGGGCACCAGAGCUCUCUUUCUUGAGGCUUUUCAAACUAGGACUGGGCAAAGCCUGAGAGAACGGACUAUAGGGCACAAUCCUAUGUUGUCCUCCCCUGCUCUCCAUUCCCCGCUUCCCGCCCUCACACUAAUGGGGGGCCUGGAUUAAUAUCUCUGAUACUAAGAGCCCAGAAAGAGUCCCGACUACUCACCAGAGACAAGAGAAGCUGAACCGUCCUGGAGGAGUCAGGGCGUGAGGCUAUGAGGCACUAGAACAGGGAGAGAGAGUCAAGUGAGAGGCCUGAAUGCAGCAGGAAGAAACCUGGGCAAAAGCUUUGUAGUCACCGGGCUGGGAUUAGGCCGUCACAAGGCAUCGCUCACAGCUGCUUUUUAAUUAAGUCAGCACAAAAACAGGCAAGAGACCCCAUUAAACAUUGCAACAGGCAGAUAAGGAGAGGGAGGGAGCGGGGAAGGGGGCAAGAGGCCUCUUGGCUGGCAGGAGCGUGUGUGGAGGAGGGGGAGCCGGGGCGAUUCUAAGACCGAUUAGUGAAGUAUAAAAGCCGCUUAUUGUGUGAGAGGGCCACGCUCAUUAGUGUUCGGCACUGGGGAAAGGAGACCGGGGUGGAGGAUGUGGGCUGACAGCUUCUCCUCUCCCCCAGAGAAACCGUCUCUCUUGUCCUCACACACUGAAGGGGAUCCCUGCCUAAGCUGCAGGCUGGAUGGGAGGGAUGGGGAUGGAGCUGGGACAGGGGCUUUGGGGAGGUUGUUCUUCCUGGGUCUGUCUGCUUCCCAAGGGCUGCGGGGAAGGUAAUCGGCAUGGCCGGGUCAUUCAUGAUUCCAAUCCUUGGGUUUGUGAAUGGUUUGCUUGCCAAUCUGUGAGUGAAUUUGGCCUUGUGACUGAGUAGGGAGUUGGCCACCGGGACCAAACUGAGGGACAGCAUGUGGGGGUAAUGGGCAGCCUUCCCCACAUAGCUCUGCCCAUGCCCCGCCAUCCUAGCCUCUGCCACUCCAAGGCCUAUGCUUCACCACACAUUGCUCUGCCGCUUCCCCUGAGUGCACGUGUGUGGCUCGCUCCUUUUUCACACUGAAAUGUGGCUGGAGCGUGUUAAUCAUCCUGCUGCAGAGAGAGGAUACGUAUGGGUGAAGUUCUGCCUAUCAUGCCGACUUAUAAAGCAGACCCUGACUUAGUAAAAUUGCCAAACAGCCCAGAUGCAAUGCACAAUGGCUUUGCAGGAUCAAUAUAGGCUUGAAAGACAGCCAGCCUCUCCUGAUCUUGGCUGCCAAGACAAGAAAGUGGCUUUCCACACAGGGAGGAGGUGAUCUUACCUCAACGUGUCACA
This is a long non-coding RNA of Alligator sinensis (Chinese alligator), 4716 nucleotides long. RefSeq lists it as uncharacterized. The transcript is spliced from 3 exons. Lineage: Eukaryota; Metazoa; Chordata; Crocodylia; Alligatoridae. The record is from RefSeq and is a predicted model, not a curated record.